GAUGAACGCUGGCUACAGGCUUAACACAUGCAAGUCGAGGGGAAACGACGGGGAAGCUUGCUUCCCCGGGCGUCGACCGGCGCACGGGUGAGUAACGCGUAUCCAACCUGCCUCUGACUGAGGGAUAACCCGUCGAAAGUCGGCCUAAUACCUCAUGGCAUCGUCUGCGGGCAUCCAACGACGAUUAAAGAUUUCAUCGGUCAGGGAUGGGGAUGCGUCUGAUUAGCUAGUUGGCGGGGUAACUGCCCACCAAGGCGACGAUCAGUAGGGGUUCUGAGAGGAAGGUCCCCCACAUUGGAACUGAGACACGGUCCAAACUCCUACGGGAGGCAGCAGUGAGGAAUAUUGGUCAAUGGGCGAGAGCCUGAACCAGCCAAGUAGCGUGCAGGAUGACGGCCCUAUGGGUUGUAAACUGCUUUUAUGCGGGGAUAAAGUGAGGGACGUGUCCUUCAUUGCAGGUACCGCAUGAAUAAGGACCGGCUAAUUCCGUG
Molecule: ribosomal RNA, 491 nt
Filed under: uncultured bacterium
Lineage: Bacteria
Description: partial 16S ribosomal RNA
Rfam family: Bacterial small subunit ribosomal RNA
Source: RNAcentral